Non-coding RNA from Ictidomys tridecemlineatus (thirteen-lined ground squirrel), 71 nucleotides. Lineage: Eukaryota; Metazoa; Chordata; Mammalia; Rodentia; Sciuridae. The record is from Rfam.
GGGGUUGUGGCUCAGUGGUAGAGCACUUGCUUAGCACGUUUGAGGCACUAAGUUCGAUUCUCAGCACCCCA